GGAUUCCCUCAGUAACGGCGAGUGAACAGGGAUUAGCCCAGCACCGAAGCCUGCGAUCAUUUGAUUGCUAGGCAAUGUGGUGUUUAGAUUGGUUUUUGGCAAUUCUGCUUCAUCCUAAGUCCAUCAAUGAGUACGGCUAAUGGACCGGCCCAAAGAGGGUGAAAGGCCCGUGUGGAUGAAGAUCAAAUGUGACAGAAUUGGCUUGAACUAAUCUUGGAGUCGGGUUGUUUGUGAAUGCAGCCCAAAGUGGGUGGUAGACUCCAUCCAAGGCUAAAUACUGGCACGAAUCCGAUAGCAAACAAGUACCGUGAGGGAAAGUUGAAAAGUACUUUGAAGAGAGAGUAAACAGUGCGUGAAACCGCUCAGAGGUAAACGGGUGGAGUUGAACUGGAAUCCCUGAGGAUUUAACUGAUGAGUAUGGCAUGCGCUUGAGUAUGUUGGCCAGCAUCGAGAGUUUGCUUAAUUGCUUUAACACGUUGCACUUGUCAGGUGUUGUGUGCUUUUGUUGCAUUGGGCUUGCUUGUCAGUGCAUUUUCUCGGGGUGAUCACCACGACCGGCGUGGUUGUCUGUUUGCUGCGGUUAAACCGAUCAAAUUUGGUCAUGUGACUAUGUUUGGUCGGGAUGGCAGGUAGCUUGUUUGCUCAAGUGUUAUCAGCUGACUGUAGUAAAUUUGUGCAAUAUGUCGGAGAUGACGGCUUUGCUGGCGCUGUUUUGCAAAUUACGUUGGGUUUGAUUGGCACGUACUUGUUUU
This 752-nucleotide ribosomal RNA is filed under the name Cardicola palmeri. Its description in RNAcentral is "eukaryotic LSU rRNA". It matches the Rfam family "Eukaryotic large subunit ribosomal RNA", at positions 72 to 619 of the family's 3401-position model. Lineage: Eukaryota; Metazoa; Platyhelminthes; Trematoda; Strigeidida; Aporocotylidae. The record is from RNAcentral.